RNAcentral lists this long non-coding RNA (1010 nucleotides) under Homo sapiens (human). RNAcentral describes it as "HSALNT0076371". Lineage: Eukaryota; Metazoa; Chordata; Mammalia; Primates; Hominidae. The record is from RNAcentral.
AAUUCCAACUGUAUAUGCUUCUCUGGUUUGCUUAAGUGACUCCUUAUGUCUGGGUCUCUGAAUCAUCCCUACAUGCUGGAGAUGUCCUGGAAAGGGGAUCUGGCUUGAGGACAUAAAAAUUGUUACAAAAACCAAGUUUUAUUGUCUCUCUUUUCCAUACCAGGUAACCCUGAAGUUAUCAUGAAGCCAGAGCUCCAUCAUUAUAUCUAUAGGGUAAUGGCAAAAGUGCUGGGGAGAGAAACACAGACAGUGGAGGGCUGAGUUUUUAGAUGCCUACUGAUAUGGUUUGGCUGUCUCCCCAUCCAAAUCUCAUCUUGAAUUGUAGUUCCCAUAAUCCCCAUGUGUCGUGGGAGGGACCAGAUGGAGAUAAUUGAAUCAAGGGAGCAGUUUCCCCCAUCCUGUUCUCCUGAUAGUGAGUUAGUUCUCAUGAGAUCUGAUGGCUUUAUAAGGGGCAUCCCCCUUUCACAGGGCACUCAUUCUUCUCUCUCCUGCUGCCAUGUGAAGAAGGAUGUGUUUGCUUCCCUUUUCGCCAUGAUUAUAAGUUUCCUGAGGCCUUCCUAGCUACUGGGAACUAUAAGAGUGAGCAUUUUUGGAAAUGUGAUCAACUGACGCAAAAUGGCAGCAACACUGGAAGGAAGAAUCAGGAGGAUAUCUUAGAAGAUAACCACAGAAUCUUUGCAAGAGACACAGAAGACUACCUUACACCUGGUUUCCACAGGAGAAAUGGCUCAAAAUAUGUUAUUAGUUGAACAGUAGGAAAAAUGUCUAUGGUCUCUUCAGCACCAUCUGUAUGUAGUCUCUGAGUCUCCAGUUUCUCAUCUAUGAAACUGGGAUAAUAAUAUGCAAUGAGAGUUAUUCUGAAGAUCAAAUAAGAUAGCAUGUGAAAGCAGUUCUAGAUUCCAGACAUAAGAGUAAGAUUAAAAGAAAUGUUGUUCUCAAUUUUCUUGUGUCAUUGCUGCUGCCAUCUAGACUUAAACAAAUGUUACUGUAAGAGCCAAGUAAUAAACUAA